GGGGAAACAUACCAGGUCCAGACAUAGCAAGGAUUGACAGACUGAUGUAUUCAACGAGUAUAUAGCCUUGGCCGACAGGCCCGGGUAAUCUUAGGAAAUUUCAUCGUUAUGGGGAUAGAUCAUUGCAAUUGUUGGUCUUCAACGAGGAAUGCCUAGUAGGCGCUAGCAAUCAGCUCGCAUUGACUACGUCCCUACCCUUU
RNAcentral lists this ribosomal RNA (200 nucleotides) under uncultured organism. RNAcentral's name for it is "partial small subunit ribosomal RNA". It matches the Rfam family "Eukaryotic small subunit ribosomal RNA", at positions 1207 to 1661 of the family's 1831-position model. The record is from RNAcentral.